RNAcentral lists this ribosomal RNA (465 nucleotides) under uncultured Klebsiella sp. RNAcentral describes it as "bacterial SSU rRNA". It matches the Rfam family "Bacterial small subunit ribosomal RNA", at positions 338 to 795 of the family's 1533-position model. Lineage: Bacteria; Pseudomonadati; Pseudomonadota; Gammaproteobacteria; Enterobacterales; Enterobacteriaceae. The record is from RNAcentral.
CCUACGGGGGGCAGCAGUGGGGAAUAUUGCACAAUGGGCGCAAGCCUGAUGCAGCCAUGCCGCGUGUGUGAAGAAGGCUUUCGGGUUGUAAAGCACUUUCAGCGGGGAGGAACGCGGUGAGGUUAAUAAGCUCAUCGAUUGACGUUACCCGCAGAAGAAGCACCGGCUAACUCCGUGCCAGCAGCCGCGGUAAUACGGAGGGUGCAAGCGUUAAUCGGAAUUACUGGGCGUAAAGCGCACGCAGGCGGUCUGUCAAGUCGGAUGUGAAAUCCCCGGGCUCAACCUGGGAACGGCAUUCGAAACUGGCAGGCUAGAGUCUUGUAGAGGGGAGUAGAAUUCCAGGUGUAGCGGUGAAAUGCGUAGAGAUCUGGAGGAAUACCGGUGGCGAAGGCGGCCCCCUGGACAAAGACUGACGCUCAGGUGCGAAAGCGUGGGGAGCAAACAGGAUUAGAUACCCCAGUAGUC